GUGAGCGCAGGGGCCGAGCAGAACGAUUUGUCAGCUGCACCCGGAGAAUGUCUGGUCCGCCUCGUCAGGACGCGGGUUCGAUUCCCGCCACCUCCACCA
This 99-nucleotide transfer RNA is filed under the name Brooklawnia cerclae. RNAcentral describes it as "tRNA-OTHER". Lineage: Bacteria; Bacillati; Actinomycetota; Actinomycetes; Propionibacteriales; Propionibacteriaceae. The record is from RNAcentral.